GGGCUUGUAUGAUGGACAAACGAGGGCCAAGCUGUCUCCUGAAUACACAUAAAAAUUGGCCUUUAGGUGAAAAGACCUAAAUCUAAUCAAAGGACAAGAAGACCCCGUAGAGCUUUGUUCUUUUAUAGUAUAAAGGAAAGUAUUAUAUUUUUUCUUUAUAUCUAAAAAAAGAGCUCAGCUGGGGCGGCUGAGGAAAAAUUAAUCUUCCAUUUUUAUCAGAUCUUUUAAUAGCGCACAAAGGCUUUACGCCAUAACUUAAAUUGACCCCACGUUGGAUCAGAAAAAAUAGCUACCUCGGGGAUAACAGAUUAAUCCUUCUUGAGAGUUCGCAUUGACAGAAGGGC
This 344-nucleotide ribosomal RNA is filed under the name Pectinaria dayaensis. Its description in RNAcentral is "Pectinaria sp. d JZ-2022 partial large subunit ribosomal RNA". It matches the Rfam family "Bacterial large subunit ribosomal RNA", at positions 1984 to 2517 of the family's 2925-position model. The record is from RNAcentral. Lineage: Eukaryota; Metazoa; Annelida; Polychaeta; Terebellida; Pectinariidae.